This 532-nucleotide long non-coding RNA is filed under the name Setaria viridis. RNAcentral describes it as "long non-coding RNA (SVIR_LNC004787)". The record is from RNAcentral. Lineage: Eukaryota; Viridiplantae; Streptophyta; Magnoliopsida; Poales; Poaceae.
GGGGACAGAGAGGUCAAGAAAACUCCACUAACUCAAUCUUGAAAAUGAGUCAAAUAGGUUCAAAGCGAUCCAAACUACAAGUAUAGCUUCACAUAUACACGGUGAAUAUUUGUUCAAAAGAUCUUCCAAAGAAGAUCAAGAUGUCACCAUGUAUUUCAUAUACUUGGCCAAGAACACAAGAGAAAGAGAGUUUUGGGAAAAACCAAAUCAAGCCAAAUCUGAAAGGGAUUGGAGGACGGAAAUGUUGCUCACAAGGGUCCUAGCAACAAAAGCCUCCAACAAAUCUCACGGAUUUCGCAGCCAAAUGCAAAGAACAAAAAAUCCCCAAAAAUACCUCUGAAAAUCCCAAAAAGAUAAAACUUAGAUCUUGAGAUGGAGAAGCAAUUGAACGAAAUUGAUUCUUAGAUUACUCCACCAUAUCCGGUUACAAGACACUCCUAGGCACAAACAAAACUAAGAUGGCAAAAAGAUCAAAUCAAAGAUCCCUCAUCUCUCUCCAUCUCUCCCCCCUAAAUGCUCUCACAACCAAAAU